Molecule: ribosomal RNA, 253 nt
Filed under: uncultured bacterium
Lineage: Bacteria
Description: partial 16S ribosomal RNA
Rfam family: Bacterial small subunit ribosomal RNA
Source: RNAcentral
UACGUAGGGCGCAAGCGUUGUCCGGAAUUAUUGGGCGUAAAGAGCUCGUAGGCGGUUCGUUGCGUCUGCCGUGAAAACCCGAGGCUUAACCUCGGGCCUGCGGUGGAUACGGGCGGACUAGAGGUAGGUAGGGGAGAAUGGAAUUCCCGGUGUAGCGGUGAAAUGCGCAGAUAUCGGGAGGAACACCGAUGGCGAAGGCGGUUGCCUGGAGCUUUGCUGACGCUGAUGCGCGAAAGCGUGGGGAGCGAUCCGG